This 72-nucleotide ribosomal RNA is filed under the name Psychrobacillus psychrodurans. RNAcentral's name for it is "16S rRNA. Bacterial SSU". It matches the Rfam family "Bacterial small subunit ribosomal RNA", at positions 1 to 70 of the family's 1533-position model. The record is from RNAcentral. Lineage: Bacteria; Bacillati; Bacillota; Bacilli; Caryophanales; Bacillaceae.
AUCUUAUGGAGAGUUUGAUCCUGGCUCAGGACGAACGCUGGCGGCAUGCCUAAUACAUGCAAGUCGAGCGAA